Molecule: long non-coding RNA, 414 nt
Filed under: Canis lupus familiaris (dog)
Lineage: Eukaryota; Metazoa; Chordata; Mammalia; Carnivora; Canidae
Description: lncRNA (ENSCAFG00845007253.1)
Source: RNAcentral
CUUGGGUGUCAGCAGAGGGCACAUGGGCUCCUGAAGGUCCAGACCCCAGGCUUUACACACCUUCCGUAGCUCUCCUCUGCAAAGGGAGAACGAACAAGAACCUGGCCGACUGCCUGCUGUCCCAGGAGCAUCGCGUUGGGGCUGGGAUCCAGGAGACAAUGGGGCCCACCCCCGAGGAGGCAGAGGCAGAGGCAGAGGUGAGCCUCUGAGGCCCUCGGUGACCUGAGACCACUCAGUGUUGGGAUUUGAACUGGUUUCUGUCAAGCUCCUGGUCUCGGCGAAGCUUCCCACCUCCCGGCUGGCUCGUGGUGGGCCAUACCGUGGUGGCACGGGUAGAGUGGUCACAGGAGCCAAGGGAUGCACCUGCUUGCAACCCGUGAAGUGCCCGGGGGAAGUGCAGGGGUGCAGCACACU